CAGUCGACGAUGAAUCUUCUAGCUUGCUAGAAGUGGAUUAGUGGCGCACGGGUGAGUAAUGCAUAGGUUAUGUGCCCUUUAGUCUGGGAUAGCCACUGGAAACGGUGAUUAAUACUGGAUACUCCCUACGGGGGAAAGUUUUUCGCUAAAGGAUCAGCCUAUGUCCUAUCAGCUUGUUGGUGAGGUAAUGGCUCACCAAGGCUAUGACGGGUAUCCGGCCUGAGAGGGUGAUCGGACACACUGGAACUGAGACACGGUCCAGACUCCUACGGGAGGCAGCAGUAGGGAAUAUUGCUCAAUGGGGGAAACCCUGAAGCAGCAACGCCGCGUGGAGGAUGAAGGUUUUAGGAUUGUAAACUCCUUUUGUUAGAGAAGAUUAUGACGGUAUCUAACGAAUAAGCACCGGCUAACUCCGUGCCAGCAGCCGCGGUAAUACGGAGGGUGCAAGCGUUACUCGGAAUCACUGGGCGUAAAGAGUGCGUAGGCGGGGUAAUAAGUCAGAUGUGAAAUCCUGUAGCUUAACUACAGAACUGCAUUUGAAACUGUUACUCUGGAGUGUGGGAGAGGUAGGUGGAAUUCUUGGUGUAGGGGUAAAAUCCGUAGAGAUCAAGAGGAAUACUCAUUGCGAAGGCGACCUGCUGGAACAUUACUGACGCUGAUGCACGAAAGCGUGGGGAGCAAACAGGAUUAGAUACCCUGGUAGUCCACGCCCUAAACGAUGGAUGCUAGUUGUUGCCUUGCUUGUCAGGGCAGUAAUGCAGCUAACGCAUCAAGCAUCCCGCCUGGGGAGUACGGUCGCAAGAUUAAAACUCAAAGGAAUAGACGGGGACCCGCACAAGCGGUGGAGCAUGUGGUUUAAUUCGAAGAUACGCGAAGAACCUUACCUAGGCUUGACAUUGAU
This 901-nucleotide ribosomal RNA is filed under the name uncultured bacterium. RNAcentral describes it as "bacterial SSU rRNA". It matches the Rfam family "Bacterial small subunit ribosomal RNA", at positions 59 to 991 of the family's 1533-position model. The record is from RNAcentral.